RNAcentral lists this ribosomal RNA (431 nucleotides) under uncultured bacterium. Its description in RNAcentral is "partial 16S ribosomal RNA". It matches the Rfam family "Bacterial small subunit ribosomal RNA", at positions 29 to 507 of the family's 1533-position model. The record is from RNAcentral.
AACGAACGCUGGCGGCAGGCCUAACACAUGCAAGUCGAGCGCCCUUUCGGGGGAGCGGCGGACGGGUGAGUAACGCGUGGGAAUAUGCCCUUCUCUACGUAAUAGCCUCGGGAAACUGAGAGUAAUACCGUAUACGCCCUGUGGGGGAAAGAUUUAUCGGGGAAGGAUUAGCCCGCGUUGGAUUAGGUAGUUGGUGGGGUAAUGGCCUACCAAGCCGACGAUCCAUAGCUGGUUUGAGAGGAUGAUCAGCCACACUGGGACUGAGACACGGCCCAGACUCCUACGGGAGGCAGCAGUGGGGAAUCUUAGACAAUGGGGGCAACCCUGAUCUAGCCAUGCCGCGUGAGUGAUGAAGGCCUUAGGGUUGUAAAGCUCUUUCAGCUGGGAAGAUAAUGACGGUACCAGCAGAAGAAGCCCCGGCUAACUCCGUG